UGGGGAAUAUUGCACAAUGGGCGCAAGCCUGAUGCAGCCAUGCCGCGUGUAUGAAGAAGGCCUUCGGGUUGUAAAGUACUUUCAGCGGGGAGGAAGGGAGUAAAGUUAAUACCUUUGCUCAUUGACGUUACCCGCAGAAGAAGCACCGGCUAACUCCGUGCCAGCAGCCGCGGUAAUACGGAGGGUGCAAGCGUUAAUCGGAAUUACUGGGCGUAAAGCGCACGCAGGCGGUUUGUUAAGUCAGAUGUGAAAUCCCCGGGCUCAACCUGGGAACUGCAUUCGAAACUGGCAGGCUAGAGUCUUGUAGAGGGGGGUAGAAUUCCAGGUGUAGCGGUGAAAUGCGUAGAGAUGUGGAGGAAUACCGGUGGCGAAGGCGGCCCCCUGGACAAAGACUGACGCUCAGGUGCGAAAGCGUGGGGAGCAAACAGG
This 429-nucleotide ribosomal RNA is filed under the name Chloroflexota bacterium. Its description in RNAcentral is "Chloroflexi bacterium partial 16S ribosomal RNA". It matches the Rfam family "Bacterial small subunit ribosomal RNA", at positions 355 to 776 of the family's 1533-position model. The record is from RNAcentral. Lineage: Bacteria; Bacillati; Chloroflexota.